This 253-nucleotide ribosomal RNA is filed under the name uncultured bacterium. RNAcentral's name for it is "partial 16S ribosomal RNA". It matches the Rfam family "Bacterial small subunit ribosomal RNA", at positions 524 to 776 of the family's 1533-position model. The record is from RNAcentral.
UACGGAGGGUGCAAGCGUUGUCCGGAUUUAUUGGGUUUAAAGGGUGCGUAGGUGGGUUGUUAAGUCCGCGGUGAAAGCUCAGGGCUCAACUGUGGAACUGCAGUUGAUACUGGCGAGCUUGAGUCCAGACGAGGUAGGCGGAAUGGAAGGUGUAGCGGUGAAAUGCAUAGAUAGCACGCAGAACCCCGAUUGCGAAGGCAGCUGACUAGGGUGGUACUGACACUGAGGCACGAAAGCGUGGGUAUCAAACAGG